This is a long non-coding RNA of Drosophila pseudoobscura, 560 nucleotides long. RefSeq lists it as uncharacterized. Lineage: Eukaryota; Metazoa; Arthropoda; Insecta; Diptera; Drosophilidae. The record is from RefSeq and is a predicted model, not a curated record. The transcript is spliced from 2 exons.
AUUAUUAGUGGUGCGGGCGUAUUUUUGUAUUUUCGAUACAAAAGAAGAGACUUUCUUGCUGUCUUUUUGAAGAUCACCCAUAAUGGAAAACUAAUAAAUCAGAACAAAUUUUUGUACUGACGAUUUUUUUAAGAUUUUGUGCAGCAAAAACAACGGUACUAAUGAUCGGAGUAUUUUUUUACAGUCUACAGCGGACAAGAAACCUGCCAAAGGGAUUGCUAGAGCAAAACAUUGUGAAGUGCUUACGGCCCGAGCAUCAACGAGCUUAGAGAAUUGGCUGAGCAAUUAUCGAAGAAAUUGCGGUCGACUACCCAGAAAAAUGGUAUAAAAAUCAAACGGCGGGUCGUCAUUUACAAAAUAUCCUGAGCCGGCACUCCGAAAAAGCGUUGAUGGAAGGCCAAAUCAAGGAAACCAGCUUAGCUCACUAAAGAAGUCCAUCCGAAUCAUCGUCUAAGAGCCGUGGUGCUUAUCUUUUAUGUUUCUUCAUUUUAUAAAUUCUUGAUAACAGUUGUAUAUUUAAAGGAAUCAAUAUACCGAACACCUUUUUCUUUUAACUCGUU